Molecule: ribosomal RNA, 405 nt
Filed under: uncultured bacterium
Lineage: Bacteria
Description: bacterial SSU rRNA
Rfam family: Bacterial small subunit ribosomal RNA
Source: RNAcentral
CGGGUUUGAAUUGCAGAUGCUAUCUUAAGAGAUUAAGAGUUCCUUCGGGACGUCUGUGAAGGUGCUGCAUGGCUGUCGUCAGCUCGUGCCGUGAGGUGUUGGGUUAAGUCCCGCAACGAGCGCAACCCUUAUCGUUAGUUGCCAGCAUUUAAGGUGGGGACUCUAGCGAGACUGCCUGGGUUAACCAGGAGGAAGGUGAGGAUGACGUCAAGUCAGCAUGGCCCUUAUGUCCGGGGCUACACACGUGAUACAAUGGUUGGUACAGAAGGCAGCAAAGCUGAAAGGUGGAGCAAAUCCUAGAAAGCCAAUCCCAGUUCGGAUUGUAGUCUGCAACUCGACUACAUGAAGUUGGAAUUGCUAGUAAUGGCGUGUCAGCAAUAACGCCGUGAAUACGUUCCCGGGUCU